UACGUAGGGGGCAAGCGUUGUCCGGAAUCAUUGGGCGUAAAGAGCGUGUAGGCGGCUCGGUAAGUCCGCUGUGAAAGUCCAGGGCUCGACCCUGGAAUGCCGGUGGAAACUGUCGAGCUAGAGUCCGGAAGAGGCGAGUGGAAUUCCUGGUGUAGCGGUGAAAUGCGCAGAUAUCAGGAGGAACACCAAUGGCGAAGGCAGCUCGCUGGGACGGUACUGACGCUGAGACGCGAAAGCGUGGGGAGCAAACAGG
Molecule: ribosomal RNA, 253 nt
Filed under: uncultured bacterium
Lineage: Bacteria
Description: partial 16S ribosomal RNA
Rfam family: Bacterial small subunit ribosomal RNA
Source: RNAcentral